UUGCAAAAAAAAAAAAAAAAAAAAAAGAAUCACCUUCCCUGUGGAGGCCUGGUGUGCAAUGGCUACAAACACAGCCUCCUGGGCAGUGUACAGCCUGUUGCUUAUACAGGUUGCCCUAAGGGACCUUGGAGACAGCC
This is a small nucleolar RNA of Delphinapterus leucas (beluga whale), 137 nucleotides long. Its record names the gene SNORA70. It matches the Rfam family "Small nucleolar RNA SNORA70". Rfam says of the family: snoRNA U70 seems to be exclusive to mammals and is a member of the H/ACA class of snoRNA which contain H (ANANNA) and ACA box motifs. H/ACA box snoRNAs are involved in the conversion of uridines to pseudouridines (5-ribosyluracil) a constituent of structural RNAs (transfer, ribosomal, small nuclear, and small nucleolar). NCBI's taxonomy places the organism in Eukaryota, Metazoa, Chordata, Mammalia, Artiodactyla, Monodontidae. The record is from Ensembl.